CACAAACUUGGAAUCUUCUUAGAACUUCACCUCCCAGUCACCAGCUCUCUGUUUCAUUAGCUUCAAGAUGGAAUAAGCCCAAACUGGAUGGAAAGUUGGAAACCAAUGGAGAUGGUCAGUAUCUACACACUAGGGUGGUUUGUAUCCAUGGGACAAACAAUAAGAUUCAGGGAGGGCAGAGUCUGCAGUCAGCAAAUAAUGGAGGCUUGCCAAAGAUAACCUGUGAGGAUGUGUGAAUGCAAGAGUGUAACUGACCAAAAGCUUGAAAACCCUUUAGAAACUGAGACUCCAAAGCCAAAUGAAAAACAGAAAAUGGAAAAAACAUGGACAAAAAUGAACCAAAGAAACCCUCAUCAAAACCAUCUAAAGGUGCUCGCCAAGUGUUAACCUUCAGCAGCAUUUCCUCAGCUUCAGCAUUUUGUGGGCCCUCUAAAACUUAGAAGAUGGGAUAUCAGCAAGUCGGAAUGCUGCGUUGAGACCAUUUUGGAGGUAAACGAAUUCCUCCAGGCCCUCGGAAUGAGCCAGGCUGAUAAGAUCGUCGAUCUCUUCCUCCUGCCUGUGUGUCACAGUUUAGAUGUAAUCGUGGAAAUCGCCUGCGGUUCCCGAAACACCCAGAAGUGCUCCACAAGAAGAAAAAAUUGAAUCAGAGUGUCAUCGCUGCCGUGAUAAUGACACAGAACCCCCGCGUGGAGACCAUUACAGAUGUGGAGCGGAGCAGCGGAUUGGACGCUUCUGGGAAACGGUGCCCUGGGCGUUUUCAAUCCAUCCCGAGUGCAAGCAAUCCUGUGCUGAGCGCCGCCGAGGCACAUAAAUCACGAGGAGCGCUUCUCCUCGGGGACCAACUGAGGCCGGAGGCGAAGAGCAGAACCUCGACGCUCCAAUUAGCGCUUUGCGCACCGAACGCACGGACGAGGGAUCGAGGGACCCGAGGCUCCGCUGCCAGGAAGCGUGAGUCAUGUUGGACUUGGGGGGGGGGGGCAGCGGGGAGCGAUGCUCCUCUUCGGCCCAGCGGGAACAAUGAAGGGCCUGGCUGGCUCUGUGUAUGUGUAUGUGUGUGUGUGUGUGUGUAUGGGGGGGGUGUGAGGGGGAGUGAAUGGGGUGACCUUCUGUCUGAUGUUUAUGUGAGCGAGCAUUGCAUUAUGGGAAAGAGGCCUUUCACAGCUGCGUCUGAAAAUGAUCAGACUGUUCUUUUUAUCUCCUCUCUGCCCUGCCCCCCCGACACACACACACACACACACGCCACCUUCAGACCCCCCGCCCCCCCCCCCCCAAAUCGUCCUCACUGUCUCCACUUUUUUUUAUUAUGUUAAUAAUUGGUGCCCAGUCUGGUGGCAAUAAUGUGCCCAUUCUGGGCUGUUUCCUCACAGAGGUCAGAGGUCGGGGGUGAUUAACACACAGGAUGCGACCUUUGGCCCCCCAGCACCUCCGCGCAACAUUAAUCUCGGCCAGGCGAGCAUUCGGCCUGAUAAUGGCACCUUAAUUAAUGAUGCCGUCUGCGCGCAGCCGGUCCCCUGCGCCACGCGGCCCCCGUUAACCCCUCGCUUGCCGCCGGACGCAGCGCCCCUCUCCGAACUCGCAUCCCCCACGUCACUCUUUCCCGCAUCUUCUCAUUUUUGGCUUCGCGCGCAGGUUCUGAGCUUGGCGCCACGUCUUCUGAACGUUCAAGUCACAGAUUUCCAAAGAUUUCUUACUUUAUUCACUUUUGAUUACAAUUUCUUUCUCUACAGGUGGUCCUCGACGUGCGAUGGUUCGACUUACGAUUUUUUCGACUUUACGACGGUGAGCUGGCGAAAGACGUUCGGUAGAAACCGUACUUGGAAUUUUGAAUUUAGAUCUUCUCCUGGGUAAGCGAUAUGCGGAGCGAUACUCUGGUGGUGCUGGGCAGCGGCGGAGAUCCGUACCUCCCCGUCUGUCACACAGAGGUGUGUAUUAGGCCUAUUAAAUGCGAUAUUUUCCACUCAUGGUGUGUUUCGCGGAACGUAACUCCAUCGCAACCCCCUCUCAGCACCCCUAUCUAUUUUCCAUAAUUUUCGUCUGACGUGAUCGAGCGCGCCCGGCGUUUACCCUCCGAGCUGCUAGAUGGCGGUAAAGUGAAGUGAAAUGAAAACGGAUGUGACCACCUUCACUCAACCCACCUCCAUGAUUUUUACAGCUCACAACCAGUGUUCUUCAGUGCUGGAGAUCAAGAAAAAAAUGAGCAAUUUUGCUCAAUUUAUGGAAUAAAUCACUCUACGCAACAUGUUUCUCGUCUGUC
Scleropages formosus (Asian bonytongue) is the source of this 2254-nucleotide long non-coding RNA. The record is from Ensembl. NCBI's taxonomy places the organism in Eukaryota, Metazoa, Chordata, Actinopteri, Osteoglossiformes, Osteoglossidae.